CCCUUAGAUGUUCGGGGCCGCACGCGCGCUAUACUGAAGGAAUCAGCACGUCUUUCUCCUUGUCCGAAAGGACUGGGUAACCCGCUGAACCUCCUUCGUGCUAGGGAUUGGGGCUUGUAAUUCUUCCCCAUGAACGAGGAAUUCCCAGUAAGCGCGAGUCAUAAGCUCGCGUUGAUUACGUCCCUGCCCUUUGUACACACCGCCCGUCGCUACUACCGAUUGGAUGGUUUAGUGAGAUCCUCGGAUUGGUCCCGGCGCGGCCUCUGGUCGUGCCGGAGUGCCGAAAAGAAUGUCGAACUUGAUCAUCUAGAGGAAGUAAAAGUCGUAACA
This 330-nucleotide ribosomal RNA is filed under the name uncultured eukaryote. RNAcentral describes it as "partial 18S ribosomal RNA". It matches the Rfam family "Eukaryotic small subunit ribosomal RNA", at positions 1470 to 1796 of the family's 1831-position model. The record is from RNAcentral.